UACAGAGGGUGCAAGCGUUAAUCAGAAUGACUGGGCGUAAAGGGCGUGUAGGUGGUUAAUUAGGUUUGAUGUGAAAUCCCCGGGCUUAACCUGGGAAUUGCGUCGAAAACGGAUUGACUCGAGUGAGAUAGAGGGUUGUGGAAUUUCCGGUGUAGCGGUGAAAUGCGUAGAUAUCAAGUGGAACACCAGUGGCGAAGGCGAGUCUCUGGACAUUUCCUGACGCUGAGGCACGAAAGCCAGGGGAGCAAACGGG
RNAcentral lists this ribosomal RNA (253 nucleotides) under uncultured bacterium. Its description in RNAcentral is "partial 16S ribosomal RNA". It matches the Rfam family "Bacterial small subunit ribosomal RNA", at positions 524 to 776 of the family's 1533-position model. The record is from RNAcentral.